RNAcentral lists this ribosomal RNA (253 nucleotides) under uncultured bacterium. Its description in RNAcentral is "partial 16S ribosomal RNA". It matches the Rfam family "Bacterial small subunit ribosomal RNA", at positions 524 to 776 of the family's 1533-position model. The record is from RNAcentral.
UACGUAGGUGGCAAGCGUUAUCCGGAAUUACUGGGCGUAAAGCGCACGCAGGCGGUCUUUUAAGUUUGACGUGAAAGCUCCCGGCUUAACUGGGAGAGGUCGUUGAAGACUGGAAGACUUGAGGCAAUGAGAGGGGUGUAGAAUUCCCGGUGUAGUGGUGGAAUGCGUAGAUAUCGGGGGGAAUACCAGUGGCGAAAGCGGCACCCUAGCGUUAGCCUGACGCUAAUGUGCGAAAGCGUGGGGAGCGAACGGG